This 59-nucleotide small RNA is filed under the name Arabidopsis thaliana (thale cress). Its description in RNAcentral is "ATSL308040". The record is from RNAcentral. Lineage: Eukaryota; Viridiplantae; Streptophyta; Magnoliopsida; Brassicales; Brassicaceae.
AUUUUUCUAGUAUAUUUAGAUUUCUCGUACCACUUGACUCUUGGAAACUUCCGAACAGC